AGCUUUGCGCAGUGGCAGUAUCGUAGCCAAUGAGGUUUAUCCGAGGCGCGAUUAUUGCUAAUAGAAAUAUAGAAAAAUAAGAGUACUUUGAAAGGAAAGACAAUUGUAUGAAAACUGCAAUUCCUUCAAAACAUUCUGU
This is a non-coding RNA of Canis lupus familiaris (dog), 139 nucleotides long. The record is from Rfam. Lineage: Eukaryota; Metazoa; Chordata; Mammalia; Carnivora; Canidae.